This 468-nucleotide ribosomal RNA is filed under the name uncultured bacterium. RNAcentral describes it as "partial 16S ribosomal RNA". It matches the Rfam family "Bacterial small subunit ribosomal RNA", at positions 28 to 507 of the family's 1533-position model. The record is from RNAcentral.
GACGAACGCUGGCGGCGGGCUUAACACAUGCAAGUCGAACGGAAAGGCCCUGCUGUUGUGGGGUGCUCGAGUGGCGAACGGGUGAGUAACACGUGAGUAACCUGCCCUUGACUUUGGGAUAACUUCAGGAAACUGGGGCUAAUACCGGAUAGGAGCUCCGGCUGCAUGGUGGGGGUUGGAAAGUUUCGGCGGUUGGGGAUGGACUCGCGGCUUAUCAGCUUGUUGGUGGGGUAGUGGCUUACCAAGGCUUUGACGGGUAGCCGGCCUGAGAGGGUGACCGGCCACAUUGGGACUGAGAUACGGCCCAGACUCCUACGGGAGGCAGCAGUGGGGAAUAUUGCACAAUGGGCGGAAGCCUGAUGCAGCAACGCCGCGUGCGGGAUGACGGCCUUCGGGUUGUAAACCGCUUUCGCCUGUGACGAAGCGUGAGUGACGGUAAUGGGUAAAGAAGCACCGGCUAACUACGUG